This 1711-nucleotide long non-coding RNA is filed under the name Podarcis lilfordi (Lilford's wall lizard). The record is from RNAcentral. Lineage: Eukaryota; Metazoa; Chordata; Lepidosauria; Squamata; Lacertidae.
CGCAUCUGGUCGGCCCCGGUGAGAAGUUGGUACGUUUACUGGCUGGUUUAGGUUCACAUCCAGGAAACCCGUUUCUUAACUAAGAAUGGCUAAAAUAUUGUGGAACUUUAAAAUAAUAAUUGCCCCCCCCCAAAAGAUUUUGAGGGACAUAAGGAAACUCACUGAACACACACUAGGGAGUGAGCCCCCUGGAAUGCAGUGAUAGAAGUAAAUAUAGGAUCAGACCGCGUGUCCCGGGGUUUAUAUUUGUUGUAAAUAGGUUUAUUGACCCAGGGAUAGUGCCCAUUCAUCUCACUUGGCUCAGGUGUAAAGACAGAUAGUACCUGCCUAACCCUAGGAGGAAUUCCUGCCAUAAAUUCAGACAUCUGCAAACUCAAGUUUCAAGUGGUUGGCAUUUUGGGGUAAAAUAUUGGGGGGGGGGGUUAAGCCCUGUGCAUGUACUAAAUGGACAUUUUGACUCAAUUUGACACAUUUGCAUUAUUGCAUGCUCAGAGAAAAAAAGUCCUUUCACCUGUGCAUACGUUUCUGGGUCAAGCAUGACCACCGGACAUAGGGCAGGGUUCUGUCCUAUGAAAUACGCCUCUGUUGGCUACCAAUUGUAUUAUGUCAUGGGUCAAAUAUGCUGCCAUCAUCUGAUUCAGUAGCUUUACCUGCUAGCUAGAGCAAACGGACUUUGGCAUCGUUGUCACCAGGUGGCCUGUGUGCCUGUAAGCUGUCACCCUCCAGCAGGGCACCUUUUGGCAAUAAUUUUUUUUUGUCAGUGCUGAUGUUUUCAGUGGAAGUUAAAUCAAAUUCAAACCAGCCCUUAUCCUCAGUAACCUCAGAUUACAGGAGAUCCCGUAAGAGAAAUGGUUCUGACCAAUGCAUUCAGAUCCACUGAGAAGAUCAGGGGAACACAGAGUGUUCUUGGUGUGCACUUCCGUUCGGGAAAGUGCUAAGAAGUGUCAGCUUUUCCUUCCAAGUAUCUUGUGAGGGUGAUGAGUGGGCCUCCUAAAAAUGGUUGUGGGAGGAAUAGGGCUCCCAGAACACACAGGCAGUGGGAGUGGGCAAAUUGAUGAAAAAGGUUCCAUAUGAUGUCACUGAACCCGAUUUUCUCAACAGACAGAAGCAUCAGAUAUAAUCAGGCUUGUACUAAAUAUAUUUACUCAUAAUUAAGCUCUCCCAAAGUUCAGUGUGGUUCACGUUCUAGUAAGCAUACGUAAGAUUGCAGCGUCAGCAGCACAAGUAUACGUGCAAAGGUCAUUUUGGUGAUAGCAAAUGAAGCCCACUCAGCAAACUGGUCUUGAAUGACGCUUAGGUAACUCCUGUUCUUGCUGGAUAAGGUCCACUACCUGCACCUCACAUGAUGUUUGUUUCAUUUUGCAGGUGUAACUGGGGACAGCGUGGCAAUAGUGGUCUCUGAUUUCAAAACUAGAGAUUCCUAGCUGGAGGCCCUAUGGGACAUUUGGGAUUUUAGGUUGCUCCGCCUCCCAUCUUGCAAUAGCUUCUGAUGCCUUUCCAGAUUUCUCUCCCAAGGCCAUAAAAAUGUUUCAUAUAGCAAAUCGGAAUCAAAACAGGCUGGCUUGUAGGUAACAAAACAAGCUCCCUUGCCUCAAAGCUGAGAAGGCCCAUGUGCCCAAAGUGCAGGCUCCAAAGUCUUGCCAUGCAGUGGCCUAAGUGAGGGAAGUGGAGAGAGACUGAACUUCUUGCUGGAGCCCCUUCAGCUUGUUGG